Molecule: ribosomal RNA, 450 nt
Filed under: uncultured bacterium
Lineage: Bacteria
Description: partial 16S ribosomal RNA
Rfam family: Bacterial small subunit ribosomal RNA
Source: RNAcentral
GUGGGGAAUCUUCCGCAAUGGACGAAAGUCUGACGGAGCAACGCCGCGUGAGUGAAGAAGGUUUUCGGAUCGUAAAGCUCUUUCGUUAGGGACGAACGUGCUCUUUGUGAAUAAUGAGGAGUAAUGACGGUACCUAAAUAAGAAGCCACGGCUAACUACGUGCCAGCAGCCGCGGUAAUACGUAGGUGGCAAGCGUUGUCCGGAAUUAUUGGGCGUAAAGCGCGCGCAGGCGGGAUAUCAAGUCUGUCUUAAAAGUGCGAGGCUCAACCUCGUGAGGGGACAGAAACUGGUAUUCUUGAGUGUCGGAGAGGAAAGUGGAAUUCCAAGUGUAGCGGUGAAAUGCGUAGAGAUUUGGAAGAACACCAGUGGCGAAGGCGACUUGCUGGCCAGCAACUGACGCUGAGGCGCGAAAGCCAGGGGAGCAAACGGGAUUAGAAACCCUGGUAGUCC